AAAAUAUAGAACAACUGAAGUAAAAAGUCUUAAAAAAUUCAAUGAAAUGUCAUUGUUUCUUUUUUGAAAAUGUUGGAAAUGACAUUUUCUAAAUUUCAAAAUUUCAGGAAAUGAUAAUCAUGUUUUAUGAAAUUCGAAAUGAAAAGAAUAAGGCAAACCUAUUUUCACACUCAUUUUCUGAUUUCACUGAAAAUGAAAACAACAAAUGGCCAAAGCAAACACACCCUAGUCUCCUUUUUCAGGAAUCUCUGCAUUCAUGUAAGUUUGGUGCUGUUCACACUUCACAGCAAUCAGAGAUGCUCAGACAGCGAACCUUCCAGCUAUAAACAUUCAGUAGCCUGCAAAAGGGAACACAACGUGUACCACAUAACUGGCUUCCCCAAUUUCUAAAGGAGAAAUGGAAUGAAUUGUGACCAUAAAGUUAAAUAUUAGAACCAUGAUACCUAAGCUUAGCACUACUACCAUAUCCCAUUACAGCACUUCAUCAAAAACGGGAGAUUAUUUUAGUCUGGGUUUUGAAAAUGUACAGUAAAUCUUAGAAAUUAAAAACUAACUUAGAAAUUAAAUCCUCGAAUUCCAACAUAGACUUUAGACCUUUGAAUUGCAAAUCAAUUGCAAUAAUAACAAUGGUUAAGCAUUAUUAUGCUAAUUCCUAAAGUCAUACAUCUUUCCAGCAUCUCCCUUUCUAGAGCCCAAUCCCAAUUAUUAUCUUUCCAACCACAAGUAACAGUUCAUAUACAGAUCAGUUUAAAUAUGAAAGAGAGACAGCGGAUCCAGGUAGACUUGAACCACCAUCCUCCCAUACUUUAACCGUUGGGCGCUCUUUCCAAUUUGAGCCUAUGGAUCCAUCAUUGCGGAGAGUAGUUUAUCAGAGGGGAAUUUUUAUAUCAAAUGAAAAAUUCAAUGACAACCAAAAACUUAUCCAACAAAAUUAAGAAACAGGUGCAUAAAGUGGCAAACUUGUGCUUGGUUCUAUCAUCAUUCUGCAGAAAGAUCAAGUUAAUUCACACAAUGCAGUUUCCAGUUACUACAUUAUGGAUUAAAACUUCAGAUUUCAGUUUAAAUUGUGAAUACUUCCAUAACAUACCGUUUAUUACUGGUCACACUACUUACUAGAUUGAAACAGAACUACGAAUGGGCUGAAUCUAGAAGCCGAACUGGUCGGCUCCCUAAAGUUAAUCUCACGGAAAUCCUAUAACUACAGUCUCUUACAUUAUGUUAAGGAAAACCACAAAGCAGGGCGCUAACCUUCACAAGUAUCAAAAGGCACCGAACAUUCUCUAGCAAAUAGAACUAUAAAAUAUAUUUGCAUAUAGAACUAAAAAAAUUAUUUUCCAAAUCAGUACCAACACAAACCGAAUAUUCUCUAGCAAAUAGAACUAUAAAAUCUAAUUGCAUAUAGAACUAGAAAAUUUAUUUUCCAACAUGAAUGAAAAAAAUAAACACACUGAGCAGAGGUUAAUGCCACGCUCCAAAGAACACUAAAGAACAAAGGAUGAAAUUCACUAACAAUAACUGAGGUUUUAAACAUUAGCGAACUUCAGGACUAUCUCAAUAUGACACCACUUUCCAAGUGCAGAAAAUUAAACCUUGAGUAGAAAUACGACAUUCCCAAUAAUUUUGGGACAACAAGAAUUAAAUUACUGACAAUCACUAAGGUUAUAAACAGCAGGUCGGAACUAUCUCAGGAUACAGCAAGACAUGGUCGUUACAGGAAUAAAAUAAUCAUCACAGGAAUAAAGGAAUCGUCACAGGAAUAAAGGAAUCAUCAUGAUGCGGAAGACAAAGCAAAAAUAUCCCGGGAAAACCACAGCAAUCACUCGGUAUAAAAACGAGUGAAUGAAUAUAGACCUACAAACAAGAAAUAGUUAGAAUUAGUGACUAUUUUAAUCACGGAAAACAGUAAAAGGUGACUCCGUGAAAAUAAAUCACCAACUAAACCUAAAAGGAGAAAAAAUGUAUCAACUAACAAUAUAAGAAUUUUAUACUCUUUCAGCACAUUAUCCACCAUUCAUUUUUCAGUAACUACGCAUAAAUGAUGGAGGACUGCAUAAAUUUUUAUGUGACAUUGCAUAAAUAUUACAGUCAACAUUAAAUAGUCGGAAUAAAAAAUUAUGUCAUCUAGAAUAACAACAUAAAAAUCUGUUUAUGGGAAACAAUACAAGGAAACCAACCAUGCCAAACAGCGUAUCCUAGUGUGUAAGCAUCUCAAUGCUAACCUCUUAAAAUGUAUAACUAAACAAUGACAAGUAUAAAGAGAACCAUCACUACGAACUAAACACUAACCCUUUAAUAAUAGAAGCAAAACGUGCAACUCUGCAGUUAAGCUCCUCAAUACCUACAGAGAGUUUUGUUUAGCAAGGGGUCCAACACUGCAGAAAAGAGCCUGCAAAAAUUGAAGAAAAGAAUAACGCCAAUAUCCAGUUAUCAACCUGUAUAAUUCAUUAAAGAUCAAAGUAAGUACCUCAAAACAAAGACAAUGGAAAACCUUACUAGCUAGGCAGAACUGUUGCACAGCUACAUGGAUCCUCGAGGAAGCAUAAGUCACCAGUAAAACGUCUUUACGAUGAUACAUUCCAUGUUGCACAAAAGGUGCACAAUUCUUACAGGUGAAAGGCUGGUAUUGAUGAAUAGAAAACUGCACAUACAACAAUACUUGAUGCCUUGGUAUAAAGUCUUACUCGCUGCCACUAAUACUGGAGGGCAGCCUUUAUAAACAUUUGACAAGGUAAACCCUUACAUAUAACCCCAAAAGACCCAAGUACAAAUGCUUAAUAGGGAUAAUAUAAUACAGUGGCUGGCCAUUGUCAACCCAACUCAUACUGGUAUAAUACUAGAAUACAUGAUAUAUUCAUUACAAUAUUGAUGAAAUGUAGGCAACUAAGACAUUGGUUAAUAUAUGCAUAUAAUGAAUUGGUAAAUAAAAUAGACUUUGCUUAAAAUACUACUGAAGUAUUGCUGGAAAAUUGCAAAAAUAUAAUGGCAUAUGAGUUCUUGAUAGACAUUUUAGGCAUUUGCAAUUUAAUAUGUGUUUAAGAAAUUUUACAUAACCCCAUUGAUUCCGGGACAAUAGAGUUGCAUGUUUCAAGUUGAUCAAAAAUUUCACUGAUUUUAGUGCAGUCUUGCUUUUCAAGAGAAACCCAAAAGUGACCAAGAGCUCAACAUCUUCCAUGGAAUAUAUAAUGUCACCAAAGCCAGUGAGUUAUCCUUCAUAUAUGGCAUUAUAAUCUCCUUUAGUUUGAGCCAUUUGGAUGUCUUAGAGUAGGACAUAGUUCAACUGUAAUACAUGUGUAGAUUUAAAUAAACCAAUCAAUGUUACUGUGAUGUCCAAUCUAAAUUAAAGUGUUCAUAAGCUGUUGAAGAUCAAUGGUUAAAAUCAAGAAUCUAUCUGAGAAGGCCGAGUGCAAACCGCAAAAUAAUACUAACACAUGUGAGGGAUAAUAUAUAUACAUAUCUUAAUAUAUAGUUGGGCUGCAUUGGAAGACAAAAGCUGUUUCUGAAAUAAUCUGAGUCGCUUGGUAGAUGGAUUAAAAAUGUGAGCCUGGUGAGAAGCUGAUUCCCAUACCAGACAUUACUCCCUGGAGAACUACCUCAUAACUUCAUGAUUUAAUAUUAAUUGUUGUAGACAUAAGCUUAUCAUGUUCAGAAUCAUUAACUUAAAAUUAACCAUUUAUGGAAAUAUUGUGCAUGCCAUAGAAAAUGGAACUUGUUGGUAUCAUAAGAGUUUAUUAGCCAAUAAGAAUGGUUAAAAAUGUAAUGAUAAUUAGUACUAAAAAAGAGAGCAAUAUCUAUGCCGUAAAGAUUCAUACACAAUCAUUGCAUUAUCCACCAUUCAUGUCAAUGAUGAUUGAAAAAAUGACAGUGUAAUACAUAGAUAUUUUUCUCUUCCAAAAAUCUUAGACUUAUGAGAAAUGCACUAAAAUGAAUGUGAAGUUAUGUAUUGAGAAUCAUGUACCUUCAUGUGGCAUGAAAGGUAAUUAUGACGGAGAUAGUAGAAAGAGUAUUCAACGAGGGAAGGAGAAACACAACACACCCCGCGAGGGGAGAGUGGGGCCAAUAAAAAAAAGAAAGUGGCCGCCGAAAACUCUCCCCUCGCAACAACAAACUAAUAAUUUUAUUGAUUUUCUUUUGACCUGCCAAGCAAGCGCACCGGACAUGGCAAAGGUCUAGUAGUAACAAAAUAUAACAAUCAACGUAACAAGUACCUUACGAGUCUACGACUGUAUCAGUAUGCAUAACACGAGGUCUCUCUCACAGACAUAACUUCACACUGUAUAAGAUAAUAAUCUCCUAAAGGAUCGUACCGAUACAAUCGAAAUUAUACAAUCAAUCUCGCGUUAUUUGAACAAUUCCUUCACUAGGUGAAACCAAUUUCUCUGUUCUCGAACUAGAAGCAGAACUACUCAUCCAGAUCCAAUGUAAAAAUACAAAAUCCAUGUCGGUUAACGACGCAAUCAAGACCUGUAAAAAUUCGACAUAUUCAGAUCCAAUAAUAAGACAAGAAAUAAGAACCGGACUCGAAAAUUCGCAGAUCCAAAACUCACCUUAUCAAAAUCAAAACCAGAUCGAAGUAUUCCUCGCCUACGUCAAAUAAAUUUCUUCAUCCCUGAACGAGAACGAUUCCGUGAAAUCGAGAGCGAGAAUUCGAGCGGAUCUUGCAAAGAAUCAUCGCUUAAAACGUGAUCAAGGUUCAAUUCGCGGUGAUUUGACCGAGUCAGAUGGCGCCUAAUAGGGUUUCCCGCGAUGAGGGGGAUAUGAGGGGUUAUGGUGAUUUAUAUAGUGGAGUUUGAUGAAAAAGGUUUAACUCGCUCAUAAUACACCGUUGGUAUAGACGGUGAUAGGAAAUCGCAUCAGUUCAUUUUAAUCAAAUAAAACACUGAAUGGGUAGGUAAUGUAUUUGCGGUCACAAAGAAAGGAAGGUUCUCGAUAAACUAUAUAUUUUUGCCUCACACCGUGAGACGUGUUUCGCGUGUCGUUCUUUGAGGCCAGUCCUAAAAUAAGUUAAAUAACUCCUGCUCUUGCUUAGUAGGGGUAAUACAUGGCAAAACAGGUAUUUCCCACUAGCGCGCCAGCAUAGUCUAUAUUUUUUUGUGGGCAGGGCAUACAAUUUUUAUUCAUUUGCUCAUUUUGUCCACCAAGUUUGCGGGCAUUUCCAUUGGAUAUGCGGGCGGCCCAUAAAUAUAAUUUAAGGAAAAAAUAAUAAAAUUUUAAAUAAGUUAUAAUGUAAUGUGAUUUUCAAUCCCUAAAAAAAUUGUAAUCUAAUGUAAUGUGUCAAACUUCAUAUAAAAUAUCAAAAAAAUUGUUAAUUUUUUAUCUUCAACUAGUUUAUUUAAUUUCAUUUCAUUUAUUAUAUGAAUUUUUAUUUUUAAUUAUUCAACAAUGUCUGCGGGCAGCCGCAAGCCCGUUAGCAUGUUUUAAAACAGAUAGGGCAUUGAAUUUUGUCCGUUAAGUCAAUGCGGACAUUUGCAAGCGCGGACUAAAUGGAUAGGGCGGCCCGUUUUGCCAUCUCUAGUAGGGGUGUAAGCAAAUCCGAUUUAAAUCGCAAAACCGAUGGAACUAACCGAACCAAACUGCAAAAUGUGGUUCAGUUUAGUUGAGUUAUUUUUUAAGAAAAUGUUUAUGUUCAGUUUGGUUUAUGAUUUUAGAAAUUUAGAACUGAACCGCAUAUUAAAUAAAUAGAUACCAUGGAAUGAAGUUUAUUAUUGUUUAAAUUCUUCAUUCAAUUUUUAGCCUAAAUUGUCAAUUUUUGUGUGAAUUGUAGUGUUAUAUAUGUUACUAAAUUGUUAUUAAGUUAUUAUUAUAUAUGUUACUAGUUGCUAAAUUAUUUCCUUGUGUGUGGAUGAUUUGGAACAUAUUUUUCAUCUUUUGUGGUAUUGAGUUUGAAACUAUCAUAUAUUGUUAUACAUAUAUUGUCAUAUGUUACUAAUUGUGAAAUGUAAGGUUAUAAAUAUAAUUAUUAUAUAUUUUACUCAUUCAUAUAUGUUAUUAAUCAUGAAUUGUAUUAUUAUAUGUUACUAAUAGAAUAUAUGUUAUAAAUUGUGAACUGUAUUAUUAUAUGUGAUAAUUCGUUUUUUUAAUUGAUCAAUUAUAUAACUGUUAUAUGAGUAUGAAUUUACUUACUGUAAGGGUGAGUUUUGUAAACUUACUCCACAUUUUAGCCAUCAAUUAUAUAAAUAUCUAAUGAUUAAGAUCUACUUAUUAUUCAAACAAUUAUAUUUCACUAGAAUUGAUUCAAGGCUAGGAUAGGGAAUAAAAACUUACUCUUGCAGUAAUUGGAUUUCUCCUCUUGUUAAAUAUGUUACUCACAAACAAUUAUGAGUUCCAUUUUUUACACAUUUAUAUAUGAUCCAUAUUUUUUUAUAAUAAUAGUAGUAAUGUUUUUUCCUUUUAUGGAUAAACAAUAUAUCUUGUAAUAGUUUUGAACUUUAAAUUGAUGCAUGAUUGUCGCGCCGCAUUUUUCGGUUGCGCGACUUAUUUAUAGUCGCUACUACAUUUUAUGGUUAAAAAUACAGAAAAAUCUUUAAGUUCAGUCACCUUGGGCUUUUGGAUUUUUGACAUCCAAGUUUGGUACAUUUUACUAAACUAUAUGACUAUGUUAUUAUUAUUUUUAUUAUUAUUAAAUUAUUUGGUAAAUUAAUUAAUUAUUAAAAUGAACAAAUUUAUUUAAUUUUAUUAUUGUGUCUCACAAGAUUGACUUUCGUCCUACGUAUCCUUAUUAAGGGAAUUAAGGCUUACAUAGUUCUUUAGGUAGAAAAUAGUUUGUUGUUUGAUUGUAUUUUAAUUAAAGAAAGUAUAUUUUUUAGUCAAAAAUGUUUAUUUUGCAUGUUUAUUUAUUGGUGAAAAAAGUUUUUAUUUGGUUAAAUUUUGUUAUUUAUUUAAUUAAGAAAAUAGAAUUUAAUUAAUUUUGAGAUUUAAUCAGUUGAAAAGAAGCGGCGUAACGCGACAUUUCGAAAAUAAUUUGAGAAGAAAGAGACAUUUGCAGCACCUACUCUCCAUCUUUGAUUAAAUCUAUGUUUUAUUUAUAAAAAAUAUUAAUUUUUUUAUUAAUCACUUCAAAUUAUUUAUCGAAAAUAUUUUUUAUAAGUUGUCAAAAGGGCUUGGUUAAUUGAUUGAUAUAUAAUAAAUGCUUUUUUUUCUUUUGCUUUUUUUACCAUGUUGAAAUAUGCCUAAUUAAUCCAAAUAAUUUAUUAAUAGUUAUUUUUAUUUUUAUUGAACUUUGACUGUUUAAUGACCUUUGAUGAUUAAUUAGCAUAAAAUAAAAAAAAUAGUUGCUAAAAAUAAAUGAAACUAAAAAAUAGUUUUGAUGAUUAUAUACUAAAGUGAUGGAUUAUCUUUUUGUUUAUGAUGUUUAUACCUUACUAUAAAAAAUUUCUAAUUUAGUGUACAUUGUUAUUGUUAAAUUUCAUACAAUAUGAUAUAUAUAUAUAUAUAUAUAUAUAUAUAUCAAACUUAAUUUAGAAAUUUAUUAUCAACCUUAUAAUGCACAAAAAUCAUAAAUUAAACAUUCUUGAUUGCAAAAGAAUUUAAUUUUACAGUACUGUAAGGGCUUGAAUCGCGUGUGACAAGCCUGGAAAUUGAGGAGCAUGUGACAGAUGUUGAGAGGAUGAAAUGUGGAGGAUCAACGCCUCCAGACACGUUGUGUAUUCGGAUGUGGGUUUGAUGGAUGCACGGAAGGCAAUUCUGGACCCGUGUGUACAUGAUCGUGUGUUCUCAUGGGUGCAAGGAUCAUGUGCGUCCUGGCACACUAGAAACGAGAUGAUUUUCAUCUUCUGAUUGGCAGAUCAUAAAGUUAAAGUGAGGGAGUAUUUGGUAAGUGGAUCAGACGGCUAAUAUUUAGCUCUGAAGCGAGUGCACGGGAACAACAUGUUCCCGUCUGCACUGCAUUACUUUGAAUAAAUAAAAUUUUGCACGCUACUUUUUUGGUAGAGGUUUUUCAAUGUUUUCAGCGUAGUUUUUUUAUGUUCUAUUUAUAGUGAAAUUUCAACCACUUAAUCCCAAAAUUUAAGUUAACAAAUUUUCAACUCUAGAGAAAUCUAAUCCCUUAAAUUAAGAGACCUUAAUAGAAUGAUUUGACAAUGUUAUUUUAAUAUUAUUCUCUUAACUCAUUUUCAAAUUCAAAUUAGGUUGUAAUUGUAUUUUACUUAUUUAUUUAUUUUAAUUAAUAUGAAAAUAUUUAUAAAAAAUGGAUAAAAUAAAAUUUAAUUAUUUUUUAUACACUUAAUAUUCAAAAUUUUGAAAAAUCAAAGUAAAUAAAUAAAUAGAAAAACAUUUUUUUCUCUUUUUUUCCUCUAUUUUUAAGAAAAAGAAUGUGGGCUCAUAGUAGCCAAUUCUCAAUUCAAAUUUUUAUUUUCUAAAAAAUCAUUUUCUUGUGGAUUAAUUUAAUUUAGUUUUGAACUUUUGGUUAACCUAAUCAUUUAGAUUUAGGAACCCUAACAACCUUGAUUUAUUUAUUAUUAUUUUUUAAUUUUCGGUUAACCUAAUCAAUUAGAUUUAGGAACCUUAUCAACAUAGAUUUAGUAUUAUUAUUUUUGAAUUAUUGGUUAACCUAAUCACUUAGAUUUAGGAACCUUAUCAACAUAGAUUUAAUAUUAUUAUUUGUUAUAUUUUUUGUUAACCUAAUCACUUAGAUUUAGGAAUCCAAUCAACAUAGAUUUUUGUAAAAUGAAGCUUCUAGAAAAUAUGUUCCAAGUAUUUUUUUAAUUUCUCUGAUUUAAUUAAUUUCGAAAAUAAUUAUAAAAACUCCAUAAAAUGGUUUUAAUUAUUUUUAUUCAUUAAAAUUAAGUAAAAUCAUUUUACAAUUUUCAUUUAAAACGUUUUGACUUUUUCUGGGCCGGAAAAAAAUGAGUGUUCAUAAUGAUUUUUUAUAAAAAAAGUAAUUGGAAUAACCGUAGAACUGAACCGAACCAUUCAAGAACGGUUCGAUUGUUAUAGUUAAUUUUGCGAUAAUUGAGCGGAAUCAAACCAUAUGUUUUUAUUCGGUUCGGUCACUAAAAUGCACUAAAAUCUUAACCGAUCUGAACUUUUACACCUCUAUUGUUUAGUCUGUUCGGGACUUCGGGCCUAAUAGCCACUUAUAUCUGCAUUUUGGGUCGUAUGCAAAAUUGAAAAGUGUCACUAGGCCCAUUAUUUUCUUUUAGUCUAAUGUGUUUUAGUAAAUAACAUAAACCUUAAUUUGUAUAUGUAAAUUAUACUGAUUAUCUUCAUAGAAGAAAUAAGUGUAAUAUUUUAAAUAAGAAACAAUAAUAAGUGCAAUUAAGUUAAACAAAAUAUGAUACAUUGUGCACACAAUCCAAAUAGUAUAAAAGUGGUCUAAUUAAAUAACAUCUUCUUAAAAUUAUUGAUGUAUUUUGUAUCAUAAGUUAGGACAUAUAGCUAUCCAUUAAUUAGAGUUAAUACAACAAUCAUCACUCUUAAAAAAAUAAUACAAAGUGAAAAGUAAUUGAAGUAUUGAUGUAAUAUUACACUCGUUAGAAAUACUAAAAUAGUCACUAUUGGACAAGUUGUCAAUUAGUUUGGUAUAUAUAAGACUGCAAUGAACCGAACCAACUUGGUAUUCGUUCGAAACUCGAUUCAUUAUUUAGCUUUGUUGGGGAUGCUCGAAUUAUGUUAUUAUAUUAGUCCAAUAUUGCCUAAUAUUGGAAUAGAGUAGAGUGAUCAAUGUUAUAUAUUAGACUCAAGUUCCUUGUUAUAAUGCAUACCAGAUAGAAGCACCAAAUAGAAACACUCCAUGGGCACUUGGGUCCAUGGGUGUGCUAGGAUUUGUAAUCCUUGCACCAAAUAGAAACACUCCAUGGGCACUUGGGUCCAUGGGUGUGCUAGAAUUUGUAAUCCUUAUAGUCUAAUAAUAUCUUGGUAGCCGCUCAGUGCUCCCGGGGUCGUGAACACAAUUGGCCAAACCAUGUUAGCAAAUUCUCUUAUUUCUUCUCUUUUAUUUAUUCAAUAAACUUUAUUUGAUUGCAUGUGAUCAAUAUUGUGCAACAAUUGCUUUCGUUGCACCAACAAUUAGUAUCACAGUUCAUUGGUAGGUGUCUCUUAACUCAGACGUUAGAUAAUGGCUAAAGUGGGUGAAUGUGUGAUGGAUAGAUAAGGUGCAUCAAAUGUACUACGCAUGAAUAAAGUAGAUGAGUGGAAGGAGAAGAAAACAUGGUACAACUAUGGAGAGAGUAAUAUAUGUUGACCCAAAACCCAGAAGUUCAUGUACUGGAUUAGGAACAAGGUGAAAUAGAGACUCCUAUGUUGAGUUUGACCCUGAGACAAGUGUUGACAAUAUUUCUCUAGAUGUUGAGAGAAUGGUCUCAUUUGAGAUGAGAAGUGGAAUAUCUUAAUGGCGUGUCUGCGAUGUCAUGGUGAAAGAUAUUAAUUUUUAGUAGAUCCGCACAAGCAUAGAGUUACUGGCUGACUUAGAUGCAGGGUGUGACAUGUGCAUUGACUUGGAUGUGGCAUGAGCAUUGGUUAGCAUUGACACACGAUGUGUGUUGUGGAAAAAGUUAUGAAACCCGAACUGGUCAUCAACCCGGAAGAGGUCCCGUACAAGUUCUAACUUGUUUAACUAGUUAGACCGUUUGGUUAGACCAAACGAUUUUAUAAUAUCUUAUAUAAUUAUAUAUUAUAUAAUUAAUUAAAAUAAGUGAAUAACACAUUUAUCAAUGUCAUGCUUUGUGUAAUGCAUAACAUAUAAAUUAAAAUAAAAGUACAUCAAAUAAGUUUAUGUUACAUAAUUAAAAUUAUAAAUCAAAACACAAUUAUCUCAGAGAGAUUAAACAUUCUAAUUCAUCUGAAUAUUAUUGUCUUCAUUAGAUCCUAAAUUAACAUUACUGGUUAGAAAUGCAGUUGGAGUGUAAGUAUCUACAUCUUCUUAAGAAAAAGAGUUUAAAUUAAACACUCCACUUAAUAAUUCACAAACAAUAUCUCAAAUCAUAACAAUUUAACAUUAAAACUUAUUAACUAAAAUUAUAUUGAGAUUAAAAACAAGAACUAAUAUUGAAUCAUAAAUUAAUUGAACUUGGCAUUAAUAAGAACUUAAAUACUAAAUACAAAGUGCGAGUUGUGGCCACACUUUGCAGCUAACACAUGUAUGUGCUGAUAAGGUAGUCAAUAUGAUUGGAGAAGAGAGAGAGAGUUAGUGAGAGUGGGUGAGUUCAAUAUUUAAUUAAAAGAAACUCAUAACAGACACUAAAAGACAAGAACAAACAGUGAAGGAUAUAUCAUUAAAUAAUAUAACAUAAACAUUAUCUAAACUAAUAACAUAAACAAAGAAAUCCUUUCAUACCACCAUAAUGCACAAACAUUGGAAGUCAAUGACGAACAAUGUAGGAUGAUGAUGCAAACAACGAAGGAGAUGGUGAUGCAAAUGGCGAAGUAGAUGGCGAUGCGAACAGCGAAGGAUGGUGGUGGCUAGAUGUUAUCAUUUCUCUCUAUUUCUUCUUUCUUGGGUCUCUAUAUUUCUUCUUUCUUGGGUCUCUAUAUUUAUUCUUUCAUGGGUAUGUUUAUGACCUUUCCAAGUUUCACUAUUUUGUUUUAUGAUUUCUAUUUUAGUUUUUUUAAAUAGUUGGACCGGUUGAUUUAACCAAUCAGGUUUACCCGGUCUAAGCCAGUUUGAUCGGAUUAAAGUAGGCCAAAAAAGGUAUGAGAAGGAUUCUAGUUUAGUGGCUAGUAUGGGACCGCAUACACAAGCGGUCAACGGUCGGACCGCCCAGUCCGGUCCUAAUAACUAUGAUUGUGGAUAUACUCCUUAUGGUGGAUCAUGAUAGUUUUGUUUGAACUAUGAUUGUCGUAGUAGACAAUUGUGGUAGCGGUUGAGGCUUUUCAAGGAAGCUUUAUGGUUCAGCUAGCUCGGUAUUGAAGAAGACGGUUGUUGGUUAACUUUGGUGUAUAGGUUCCAUAAUACUGAAAGACUCUCUAACAAUAGGUGGCUAGAUGGUGUGUUCCAUUAGAUGGCGGUAUGGGAAGAUGCACUAGAAGUUUGGAGAGUUAGGCUCUUGGUAACAUCGUCAAGGAUACUCAAAAAGUCUAAUGUUGAAGGGGAGCAAGCUCUUAUGUGGAGGAGUUGCAUAAGAGAAUUAGACAUUGAACAAGGUCGAGUCACAUAUUCGCUAAGGUGGAGAUUCUUGUGUAGAUUUCAAUGAGCGAGAUAAUCAUUUAUUUCAAUCAAUAUGAGGAUGUUUGAAAUAUAUUAUUGUAUUAGUUCAACAUUGCCUAGUAUUGGAAUAGAGUAGAGUGAUCAAUUUAUGUAUUGGACUCGAGUCCCUUAUUAUAAUAUGUACCAGAUAGAAACACCAAGUACAAACAUCCCAUGUGCACUUGGGUCAAUGAGUGUGCUAGGGUUAGAGAUGACAUAAUGUGUCACCCGAUCCAUUUUAUCUGUGCCCAUAAAUGCCCGCAAAAAUUUAAGCGAACAUGGGCAAACCCGCAUUGGCUUAAUGGACAAAAUGACAUGGCAUAUCCAUUUUAAAAUGGACUAACGAGCAGCCCAUGGACAUUGAUGAAUAAUUUAAUAAUUAAUAUAAUAAAAUAAAAAGAAACUAAAUAAAUUAGUUAAAACUUAAAGGAGAACAAUAUUUUUUUAAAAACUUUAAUAUUCUAUAUAAACUUGACUAAAUCAUAUUACACUACAAUUUUUUGAAACAUUAUAUCAUAAUUUAUUGUAUUUUUUUCUUAUUUUUCCUUACAUUAUGCCUCCGGCCCGCAUUGCCUAUUACAAAUGCUUGUUGGCUUCGCGAGCAAACAAACAAAUUUUACAUGUCACGCCCGCAAAAAAUUACAGGCUAUGCGGAUGGGCCCGUGGGCUAUGUCCAUUUUGCCAUCUAUAGCUAGGGUUUGUAAUCAUUAUUCUCUAAUAAUAUUUUGGUAACCGCUCAGCGUUCUCAUAGACGUAGACACAAUUGGUCGAACCCGUUAUAAAUUUUUCUUGUUUCUUCUCUUCUAUUUAUUCAAUGCACUUUAUUUGAUUGCUUGUGGCUAACGUUAGACAACGAUCGCUUCCAGUGCACCAACAAUCUCAAUAAACUUGGUUCAUGAACUAAAUGAGUUGAACUUGAGCUGAAAAUUGAGUUCCUUAAAGAAACGAGUUGAACUUGAGUUGAAUAUAGUUUGACUCGUUGGGUUCAUGAGCUGACUCGAUAUAUAUAAACUAAUUUUUAUGUUUAUUAUGAUCCAUACAUUAUUUUUUAUGUUUAUAGUCUAAUGUUGAAGGGGAGCAAGCUCUUAUGUGGAGGAGUUGCAUAAGAGAAUUAGACAUUGAACAAGGUCGAGUCACAUAUUCGCUAAGGUGGAGAUUCUUGUGUAGAUUUCAAUGAGCGAGAUAAUCAUUUAUUUCAAUCAAUAUGAGGAUGUUUGAAAUAUAUUAUUGUAUUAGUUCAACAUUGCCUAGUAUUGGAAUAGAGUAGAGUGAUCAAUUUAUGUAUUGGACUCGAGUCCCUUAUUAUAAUAUGUACCAGAUAGAAACACCAAGUACAAACAUCCCAUGUGCACUUGGGUCAAUGAGUGUGCUAGGGUUAGAGAUGACAUAAUGUGUCACCCGAUCCAUUUUAUCUGUGCCCAUAAAUGCCCGCAAAAAUUUAAGCGAACAUGGGCAAACCCGCAUUGGCUUAAUGGACAAAAUGACAUGGCAUAUCCAUUUUAAAAUGGACUAACGAGCAGCCCAUGGACAUUGAUGAAUAAUUUAAUAAUUAAUAUAAUAAAAUAAAAAGAAACUAAAUAAAUUAGUUAAAACUUAAAGGAGAACAAUAUUUUUUUAAAAACUUUAAUAUUCUAUAUAAACUUGACUAAAUCAUAUUACACUACAAUUUUUUGAAACAUUAUAUCAUAAUUUAUUGUAUUUUUUUCUUAUUUUUCCUUACAUUAUGCCUCCGGCCCGCAUUGCCUAUUACAAAUGCUUGUUGGCUUCGCGAGCAAACAAACAAAUUUUACAUGUCACGCCCGCAAAAAAUUACAGGCUAUGCGGAUGGGCCCGUGGGCUAUGUCCAUUUUGCCAUCUAUAGCUAGGGUUUGUAAUCAUUAUUCUCUAAUAAUAUUUUGGUAACCGCUCAGCGUUCUCAUAGACGUAGACACAAUUGGUCGAACCCGUUAUAAAUUUUUCUUGUUUCUUCUCUUCUAUUUAUUCAAUGCACUUUAUUUGAUUGCUUGUGGCUAACGUUAGACAACGAUCGCUUCCAGUGCACCAACAAUCUCAAUAAACUUGGUUCAUGAACUAAAUGAGUUGAACUUGAGCUGAAAAUUGAGUUCCUUAAAGAAACGAGUUGAACUUGAGUUGAAUAUAGUUUGACUCGUUGGGUUCAUGAGCUGACUCGAUAUAUAUAAACUAAUUUUUAUGUUUAUUAUGAUCCAUACAUUAUUUUUUAUGUUUAUUGUUGUUAUAUAUAUAAAAACAAGAUUAUAUUUAUAUAUAUAAAACAUUUUGUAGUAUUUUUCAAAUUUUAAUUAAUAAUUUGAGUUAUACAAGUGAACCAUUCGAACUAAAUCGAAUAGUUUACGAACUUUAACCGAACUGAACUUGAGCUAAAAAAGUACCUAGUAUCGAACUCAAGUCAAGUUUCGAGUUGAGUCAAUCUUUAUCGAGCUGAACUCUGAUUCAAUUAUUUUCGUAUAUAUGUCCAAACUUGUGUGGUGGGCCUUGUUUACUAGUCACGUCCUUUAAAGAAUUCAACAAAGACAAUUAGAAGGACACCUUUCACACAAUUGAAGGAAAAUCAGUGGAAAUCAGUGAGCAAACAAAGUUGAACCCCAAGACUAAUAUAUCAAAACAAGAAAACAUUCAAGACCAAGUCUUUGUACCAUCUACUUGUAACUAUAAAUCAUCUAUCAUAGCUAAGCAGAAUUUAAUAAUCAGCUAUGCAUGACACUUUUAUUGUUUUAAAUUAUUCUCUAUUAAAUACCAACCAGAAGUUAAUAUUGUGGUGCUGAAUUCUGAGAGUAUUGUAUUACGCCUAACAAUCAAAAAGUUUAAUUCUUAUCUGCGAUAAUUAUUUAGAGAGACAAUCACACACCUUAAAGAGUUUAGUUCAUUGUCAAAGUUGAGAGAAUAUCAUUGGUUCCAAAAAAAUGAUCCUCUCUUAAUGGCUAAGGAAUGGUCUGGUCCUGAGGGGAGCAUAAGUGUGUCACUUUAUGUGACACAACUUGUAAUUGGUUGAAAAAAAUGUAUUGAAGUUAAAAAAUUAAAGAUUAAAUAUUUUUUUGACUAAUCAUAAAUAGUAAUACAUUGAGUGAUACACUUUUAUGGGACAUCAGAUGUCCACCCGAUCCUGAGGAGCUCUGAAAUAGAAGGAUGCAUGUAAGGAGGAGGAUAUUCCAGUAUUUCUUGCGUUACCAUUUUAAUUGUCUCUUGUAUUGCUUAUGAUGUGUGUGAGCUUAGUUAACAUUUGAAAACUUCGAGAUUGAAGUCUAUGUAUAUCUGUUCAGUAAUAUAAAUGAAGUUUUCCUCUCUUAAAUUAUGGUCAUGUUUUAUCUUUCCUAUAAAUUAUUUUUUUGUUUCAAACUUUUUCUUCAUUUUAUAAGAAUGGUCAAAUCUAACCUUAACAAUGUACUAUUCAGUCAUCAAAUCAAGAAAACCAUAGAAAUUACAAUUUUGUCCUUACACCUUGAGUGAAUUGGAAAAACUAUAUUCUAGGUGAAAAUAAACACCAUGUAAUAAACUUUUUUGUUUGUAUUCAUUUAUAUGUGAAAUUAGUUUACUUAAUUUUAAUUUCAUUACUUAUGAACUCACAGAUAAAUACUAGUUGUAUAUACUCAAUAGAAAUAUAGUGAAAAUCAAAAAAAUUUAAAAUUACAUAUAAAAUGACAAAUAAUAACUAAAUUAUAAAUACAAAACGCAAAUGCGCAAAAGUGAGAUAAUUAGAGAUAUAAAAGUAGUUAUCAAAUAUGAGUUAUAAUUUCUUUAGAUACAUUAGUGAGAAGAAAUAUAAGAUAUUAAUGAUUUUUAUAAACAAAAGUGACUAUAUUAAAUUUUAUAAUUUACAUGUUAGUUAAAAAUAUUAAUUAAUAUUAUAAAAAAAUUACAAAAAAAAUUAUUUUUGUAAUGUGUAAUAAUAAAAUUUAAUUUGUAAAUAUUAGACAUACUACAUAAUUUUUUAUAUUAAACUAAUGAAGACACUUAUGCCAUUUUAUACACAUUAUAUAUUUUCUUUCCUCUUACUUUUCUUUCAUUUUCAAUCAUACUAAACAACAAAAUUAUUAUCUCAUUUUCUACUAUUUUAUUUCCUUCCACUUUUUUCCUUCUAUUUUUUAUCCUUAACCAAACAUUGUAUAACUGUAUUGGCUGUAAUGCAAUGAUUUGAAGUUCAUAUUUAGUUUAUCAAAAUUGUAGAUGUAUAACAAGCAAAAGUUGCAGAAUUGUUGCCAAUACUAUGCUCUCUCUUUCCUUAUAGGUGUCAAUGUAACAUUUUACAUGAUUUAAUUACUGAAAGAUAUUGGCACACUCAUGUCCAUACAACAUUCUUACUUGACAUCUAUCAAUGAUUACUUGAUAACAUUCUUACUUGACAUCUAUCAACGAUUACUUGACAACAUUCUUACUUGACAUUUUACAUGAUUUUCUUCAUAUAUGACUAACUUACAUUGUUGAAAUAUUACUAUUGUGAGUUCAAUUAUAAUUAUAAUUAUUUCAUUGUUGUCCUAUUCAUGAUUUAACACCAAUUUUAUAUAAACUAAUAAAGUUAAAUACAUACACUUACGAUUUAAAGAUUUAUACACAGUCAAUACAUCAUUCAUCAUUCAUUUGUAUUACUUUUAUUUAAGAGUCAAUUAAGAUCAGAAAUAAAUGAUAAACGAUACAGUGAUAAUAUAAAAAAUUCUUAUACUAUCGGAGCAUACAUCUUUUUCUCUCAAGUUUAAUGCAUAAUUAGGAACAAAAGACAUAAAACUUAGAUAAGUUUUAUACACUUUCCUCUUCAAUAUAAGUCACUUUUAUUUUAGUCAAUACUUUCUUUAAUAGAAAACCAUACCUGCUUGUUAAUUGUUAUACUGUCUGUCCUCGACAACAAGAUCAUGAAUAAAAUGCAUGCCCCUUUCCAUGGACAACCCCAAUUUCCCCAUUUGAGACCAGGAACACCAAGAGUUAGUUUGGGAGUUUGAUUUUGGAGGGGAAGGAAGGAAAGGCUUAGGAGGCAUAAAAUACAUUUGUGAGAUAACUUCAAAGCCUUCCAUUUUCCUUCAUUCCCCUCCAAAAUCAAACUCCGAAACUAACCUUAAGUCUCCUUUUUGAGGAAUCUCUGCCUUCAUAUAAGUUGGUGCUGUUCACAGCAAUCAGAAACAUUCAGUAGCCUGCAAAAGGGAACAACGUGUAUCACAUAACUGGCUUCACCCAGUUUCUAAAUGAGAAAAGGAAUGAAUUGGGACCAUAAAGUUAAAUAUUAGACCCAUCUUAGCACUAUUACCAUAUCCCAUUACAGCACUUACUUAGAAACAGGAGAUUGUUUUAGUAUGGGUUUUGAAAAUGUGCAGUAAAUCUUAGAAUAAAACUAACUCUUAAAAAUUAAAUACUCGAAUUCCAACGUUGACUUUAGACCUUCGAAUUGCAAUAAUGGCUAAAGUUGUACAUCUUUCCAAUUCCAGCAUCUCCCUUUCUAGAGUCCCAAACACAAUUAUUAUUUUCCCAACCACAAGUAGCAGUUCAUAUAGACAGCGGAUCCAGGUGGACUCGAACCACCAUCCUCCCAUACUUAACCGUUGGGCGCUCUUUCCAAUUUGAGCCUAUGGAUCCAUCAUUGCGAAGAGUAGUUUUUAUCAUAGGGGAAUUUUUAUAUCAAAUGAAAAAUUCAAUGACAACCAAAAGCUUACCCAAGAAAAUUACGAAACAUAACCAUUUCAAACAUAAAUGGUUAUUUACCAGAGUACAAUAACAAAUAACUACAAGAGUCUAGCCGCAUAAAGUGGCGAAUUUGCGCUUGGUUCUAUCAUCAUUCUACAGAAAGAUCAAGUUAAUUCAAUUCAUGCAAUUUGCAGUUACUAAAUUAUGGAUUAAAACUAUAGAUCUCGGUUUAAAUUGUCAAUAUUGUCAUACCAUACCAUUUUUUAUGGGUCACACUGUACUUAUAAGAGAUUGAAACAGAACUAUAAAUGGGCUCAAUCUAGAAGCCAAACUGGUCAGCUCCCUAAAGCUAAUCUCACGGAUUAUAACUAUAAUUACAGUCUCUUCCAUGUUAUUAAGGAAAACCUACGAAGGAGGGCGCUCACCUUAACAAUUAUCAAAAGGCACCGAAUAUUCUCUAGCAAAUAGAACUGUAAAAUCUAUUUGUAUAUAGAACUAGAAACUCUAUUUUCCAAAUCAGUACCAACACAAAUCCAUAAACAUUUGAAAAUAGAACCAUAAAAUCUAAUUGCAUAAUUGCACAAUUGCACAUAGAACUAGAAAAUUUAUUUUCCGACAUGAUUGAAAAAAAUAAACAACGGGUUAAUACCACGCUCCAAAGAACACUAAAGAACAAAGGAUGAAAUUCACUAACAAUAACUGAGGUUUUAAAUAUCAGCUAACUUCAGGACUAUCUCAAUAUGACACCACUUUCCAAGUGAAAAAAGUUAAACCUUGAGUAGAAAAAUACCACGUUCCCAAUAACUUUUGAAUUUUGAACAACAAGGAUUAAAUUACUGACAAUCACUAAGGUUAUAAACAGCAGUUCGGAACUAUCUCAGGAUACAGCAAAACCACAGCGAUCACUCAGUAUAACAACUAGUGAAUAAAUGUAGACCUACAAAAAGGAAAUGGUUUGAAUUAGUGACUAUUUUAAUCAUGGAAAACAGUAAAAGGUGACCCCGUGAAAAAAAACUACCAACUAAACAAGAGUUACAAUAAAAAACUAUGUCAUCUAGAAUAACAAAAUAAAAAUUUGUUUCAGGGAAACACUCCAGGAAAACAAGCAUGACAACAGUGAAUCCUAGUGUGUAAGAAUCAGAAUGCUAUCCUCUUAAAAAAUUUAAUUGAACAAUCACAAGUAUAAAGACAACCACCACCAUGAACUAAACAAUAACCCUUGAUAAUAGAAGCAAAACAUGCAACUCUGGAGUUCAGCUCCUUCCUACCUACAGAGGGUUUUGUUUAGCAGCCCACAAGAGGGUUACACAUAAGUGGGAUGUGAGGAGGGUAGAUAUAUACUGUCUUACUCUUCAAGCAGAAAAGUGGCUGCAAAAUUUGAAGAGAAGAAUUAACACCAAUAUCCAGUUAUCAACCUGUAUAAUUCAUUUAAGAUCAAAGUAAGUACCUCAAAACAAAGACAAUGGAAGACCUUCUUAGCUAGGCAGAACUAUUGCACAGCUAAUCGAUCCUAGAGGAAGCAUAAGCCACCAGUCAAAACAUCAUGUCUUUACAAUGAUACAUUCCAUGUUGAACCACAGGUGCACAAUUCUUACAGGUCAAAGGCUGAUACUGAUGAAUAGAAAACUGCACAUGCAACAAUACUUGAAGCCUUGAAGGUACACUGGAUACAGUCUUACUCACUGCCACUUAUACUGCAGGGCAGUCUUUUUAAACAUUUGAUGAGGUAAACCUUACAUAUAACCCCAAAAGACCCGACUACAAAUGCUUAAUAGAGAUAAUAUGGUACAGUGACUGGCCAUUGUCGACCCAACUCAUAUUGGUGUAAUACUAGAAUACAUGAUAUAUUCCUUACAACAUUGAUCAAAUGUAGGCAACUCAGACAUUGGCUAAUAUAUGCAUAUAAUGAAUCGGUAAAUAAAAUAGACUUUGCUUAAAACACUACUGAGGCAUUUGCUAGCAAAUUGCAAAAAUAUAGUGGCACAUGAGUUCUCGACAAACAUUUUAGGCAUUUGCAAUUUAUUAUGUAAUUAAGAAAUUUUAAAUCACCCCAUUGAUAUCGGGACAAUGGAAUUGCAUGUUUCAAGUUGAUCAAAAAAUUCACCGAUUUUAGUGCAGUCUUGCUUUUCGAGAGGAAUCCAAAAGUGACCAAGAGCUCAACAUAUUCCAUGGAAUAUAAAAUAUCACCAGAACCAAUGAGUUCUCCUUCAUAUAUGGCAGUACAAUCUCUUUUAGUUUGAGCCAUUUGGAUGUCUUAGAGUACGACAUAGUUCAACUGUAAUACAUGUGUAGAUUUAAAUAAACCAAUACAUGUUACUAUUGUGUCCAGUCUAAAUUAAUGUGGUUAUAAGCUGUUGAAGAUCAAUGGUUAAAAUCAAGAAUCCAUGUGAGAGGGCUGAGUGCCAACCGCAAAAUGAAGCUAACGCAUGAGAGGGAUAUUAUAUAUAUACAUAGUUUGGCUGCAUUGGAAGACAGAAGCUGUUUGUGAAAUAAUCUGAGUCCGUUGGUAGAUGGAUUAAAAAAUGUGAGCCUGGUAAGAAACUGCUUCCCUUAACAGAUACUACUCCCUGGAGAACUAUUCACAACUUCAUAAUCUAAUAUUAAUUGUUGUCAAAUACGCCUACCAUGUUCAGAAUCAUUAACUUAAAAUUAAUGGUAGGGAAUCAUGCUCGAGAAGUAAAUUAAACAUUUAUGGAAAUAUUGUGAAUGCCAUAGAAACUGGAACUUGUUUGUAUCAUAAGAAUUUAACCAACAAGAAUGGUUAAAACUGUAAUGAUAAAGUAUUAAAAAAGAGAGCAAUAUCUAUGCCAUGAAGAUUCAUACAUAAUCAUUGCAUUAUCCACCAUUCAUGUCAAUGAUGAUUGAAAAUGAACAGUGGAUAAUACGAGGACAGUGUAAUGCAUAAAUAUUUUUCUCUUCAAAAAAUCUUUGACUGGUAUGAGAAAUGCACUAAAAUGAAUGUGAAGUUAUGUAUUGAGAAUCAUGUACCUUCAUCGUGCUGUGUUUUUUUAAUCAUAAUCCCGGUAUGCGUGUGGCUUGAAAGGUAAUUAUGACGGAUAUAGUAGAAAGAGUAUUCAACGAGGGAAGGAGAAACACACCAGACUCCGCAAGGGGAAAGUGGGGCCAAUAAAAAAAGUAUGGUUGGCCCCAAAAACUCUCCCCUCGCAACAACAAACUAAUAAUUUUAUUGAUUUUCUUUUUGACCUGCCAAGCAAGCGCACCUGACAUGGCAAAGGUCUAGUAGUAACAAAAAAUAACAAUCAACGUAACAAGUACCUUACGAGUCUACGAGUGUAUCAGUAUGCAUAACACGAGGUCUCUCUCACAGACAUAACUUCACACUAUAAGAUAAUAAUCUCCUAAAGGAUCGUAUGGAUACAAUCAAAAUCAUACAACUGAUCUCGCGUUAUUUGAACGAUUCCUUCACUAGGUGAAACCAAUUUCUCUGUUCUCGAACUGGAAGGAGAACGACUCAUCCAGAUCCAACGCCAAAAUCCAAAAUCCAUGUCGGACAACGACGCAAUCAAGACCUGUAAAUUCGAAACAUUCAGAUCCAAUAAUAAGACAAGAAAUAAGCACUGAACUCGAGAAAUCGCAGAUCUAAAACUCACCUUAUCAAAAUCAAAACCAGAUCGAAGUAUUCCUCGCCUUCGCCAAUACAAUUUCUCCAUCACAGAACGAUAACGAUCCCGUAAAAUCGAGAGCGAGAAUUCGAGAGAAUCUUGCAAACAACCAUCGCUUAAAACGUGAUCAAGGUUCGAUUUGUUGUAAACGGAUCGAGAAUCGCUGAUUUGACCGAGUCAGAUGGCACCUAAUAGGGUUUCCCGCGAUGAGAGGGUUAUAAGGGAU
RNAcentral lists this long non-coding RNA (21592 nucleotides) under Lupinus angustifolius (narrow-leaved blue lupine). RNAcentral describes it as "long non-coding RNA (LANG_LNC003412)". Lineage: Eukaryota; Viridiplantae; Streptophyta; Magnoliopsida; Fabales; Fabaceae. The record is from RNAcentral.